UGGGGCGUGGCCAAGUGGUAAGGCAGCGGGUUUUGAUCCCGUCAUUCGGAGGUUCGAGUCCUUCCGUCCCAG
This 72-nucleotide transfer RNA is filed under the name Delavayella serrata. Its description in RNAcentral is "tRNA-Gln". It matches the Rfam family "tRNA". From Rfam's summary of the family: Transfer RNA (tRNA) molecules are approximately 80 nucleotides in length. Their secondary structure includes four short double-helical elements and three loops (D, anti-codon, and T loops). Lineage: Eukaryota; Viridiplantae; Streptophyta; Jungermanniopsida; Jungermanniales; Jungermanniaceae. The record is from RNAcentral.